Molecule: ribosomal RNA, 227 nt
Filed under: uncultured bacterium
Lineage: Bacteria
Description: partial 16S ribosomal RNA
Rfam family: Bacterial small subunit ribosomal RNA
Source: RNAcentral
GAUCCUGGCUCAGGAUGAACGCUAGCUACAGGCUUAACACAUGCAAGUCGAGGGGCAGCAUGGUCUUAGCUUGCUAAGGCCGAUGGCGACCGGCGCACGGGUGAGUAACACGUAUCCAACCUGCCGUCUACUCUUGGACAGCCCUCUGAAAGGAAGAUUAAUACAAGAUGGCAUCAUGAGUCCGCAUGUUCACAUGAAUUAAAGGUAUUCCGGUAGACGAGUGGGGA